RNAcentral lists this ribosomal RNA (198 nucleotides) under uncultured bacterium. RNAcentral describes it as "partial 16S ribosomal RNA". It matches the Rfam family "Bacterial small subunit ribosomal RNA", at positions 328 to 538 of the family's 1533-position model. The record is from RNAcentral.
ACGCUCGACACCUACGGGAGCAGCAGUGGGGAAUAUUGCACAAUGGGGGAAACCCUGAUGCAGCGAUGCCGCGUGAAGGAAGAAGUAUCUCGGUAUGUAAACUUCUAUCAGCAGGGAAGAAAAUGACGGUACCUGACUAAGAAGCCCCGGCUAACUACGUGCCAGNNGCGNGUAUCUGAGGCGGGCGUGGACGAAGGC